UCAACUCCGUAGUCGAACUGGUCAGCAGCAGCGUCAGUCUCGUAGUCUACCGGAGAGAAGAGGGGGAAGAAAUAAUGAAUACAGAGCAAACAAAGCAUCACAAAUAUAACAAGGCAAUACGCGGUGUUCGGUGUGCCCUAACGCGGUAGUAGGUGAUACCGGUUAAGGGGGGAAACAUCCGGGAAAAUAUCCCCGGUGUUUCGUGUUUCCGGGCAGAGGAGCCGGAGGGGGAAAGUUGUGAGUUCGAUAGGUUAGGUGUGUGUGGCGGACGAACGGACUGCGUAUCCGGAUUCGUCUCGUCGUUCUGAGCAACUUUCAUGUACAAAGUUUUUCCAUCCGAGCUACGGUUUAUUUUAUAUUAAUUUUUACAGUUUAAAUGAAUUCUUAAAUUUCCUGGAUAUAAAUUAAUUCGAAAAUCAUUUAAUAUUAAAUGCUAAGUGUACAUAGAAAAUGUACACAACAGUGUGCUUGUGAGGUUGAAAAUGGGACCCGGAGGUGUGCUGAGUCAGCAGUCAAAGUCAAUGUUGACCAGUCAACAGAUUUAUUUAAAUGGAUUUAUACAUUGGUGGGGCCGGCAUGUAAUAGGAACAAGUUAUAUCAAAGGUUAUUUAAGAGGGGGGUUCCCACAUGUCAUAGAGUAUAAUUAAAUUAAACCUAAACAUAAAAUUAAACUAACAGUGGGGGGCCCUUGGCUUAAUCUAAACUGAUUAGCCCCUCUCCUAAUCUAAACUGGGGCCGGUCUAAGAGGCCGGGCACGCACGCGGCCUCACAGAGGAGGGCCGGCAGCCGCGGCGGGAAGCUCCGGCAGUGGCGGCCGAGCAAGGAGCAGCAACGGCCGUAGCUCAACAGCAACGAGUAGCAGAGCAGGCGCGCAGCAGCACAAGCGGCGGUUGCACGCGCGAGGGGGGGGGGCGGCAGAGGCGGCGCAGGUGCAGCUAGGCCACGGCCAGAGGCGACGCCGGGCACGCGGGACGCGGCCUGUAGUCUGCGGGUGAAGAAGGACGCGGCUAGGCGGAGGCAAAUCCACGGUGGGCAGGGGCUCGCGGCCUGGGGCGUUGGGGAGCCCAACGGAAGUGGGGAUCCGGCCAUGGCGGACAGCGACGCGCGGGAGCAUCUACGGCGACGAAUCAAGACGAGGAACAAGGGGGAAAUGGAGGGGAUCUCACAGCGAAGCUGUAGGGCAAGUCAGUGGGCUCGGGGAUGCGUCGGGGACGACGAAUCGAUGACGAAGUUGUGCGGCGGCCGACGGGGAAGAAGAUGAAGCAGGCGUCGUCGAUGGGCGACGAGCGGCGCUGGCGAUGGGGCGGCGUUGAGGCGCGAUGGCGUAGGGGUGGGAGGGCGUCACGGCGAGGGGGGUCUCCGGCGUAGUGGGAUGAUGGCGACGAUAGCGGGGUGGCGUCGGGCGACUUCAGGUCUUCGCCCCGAUCUCGAUCCAGAUCGGGGGGCAGGGAGCGAGUGUGGGGGGGUGAGGAGCGAGUGGGGAACGUGGGCUAGGGUUUCGGGGUCCAGGGGGUUAUGGAGGGGUGCGGUUGGGCCGGCUGGCCCAGCCGGUUUUGGCGGCCAGCUGGGCCCGUAGGCCGUGGGAGGGGGUUUCCUCUCUUUUUUUUUGUUAGUUCUGUUUUCUAUUUACUUCUUUUUUUGUUUUUAUUUUAUUCUGGUAUUCACUUUUUAUAAAUCACAAAACAAAUUCCUAAAUUAGUGUUUCAACACAAUCCAAUGUCAAAAAAAAACUUUUACCCUGAAAUAAAAUAGUUUAGCAUUUUACAAAAUACCAAAGGCAUUCAAAUAAUUGUUUUAGCUACUGUUUUGUUCAUGGUUAAAUACUCAAACAUUUUAUAAAAGUUUGAUUUCUACACCAUAAUUACCUGUGCAUUAUUUCACUCACACUAAACAUUUUAGUUUUAAUAUUUGAAAACUUUUAUUGUUUGUUAGAUCUUUUAAAUUGGAUUUGAAUCGGUUUCGAACUAAAUCGAGAUUAGCAACAGUAACCAUGGUGACGUGCCACCAUUAGUGUGGGAUCACUGUAGCUUAAUUAUCCGGGCGUCACACUAUAUCAAACAGUCCAAUGGAAAGGAAGACAUGUUUACACAUAAGAGUUGGGAGUAUAUCCUUCCCAAGGAAAAGCAGAGCAGGAUAUACAUGAUAGGAUAGCAAGUUCAAAAGCAUUUAGAUAAUGGGGCGAGGGAAGAAUCCUGAUAUUACAUUCAACGGUGUUUGGAUAAUAGAUCAAGAAAAAUUCGAUAAUGUGCUUCCAAUGUUCUUGUUGAUAUGCGGAAUACCCCAGUCAUGCUUUGAGGUAGCAUUAACAUGGUGUUACAAGUAGGGGUUGGAGUUGAAGAUCACAAGAAAUACUCAAGGAACAAUUGCAGGAAUAGCAAGGAGCCCAAGGUAUAACCAAGACAUGAUCAAACAUGUGUUGGAAAGAAGACAAGGGGGUUGUCAAUGAUAACUCAAAUCAUUGAAGGUCAAGGAUGGUAUUUCUCACCAUGAAUUCAAUCGUCAUCUCAACGGAAGUCAAAAUGUUGAUGCUGAUCACGAUGCAUUUGUCGAGAGGCUCUAUGAAGAUGCCAUCGAGGAGCGAUGCCAUCAAGCAACAUGAAGGAUGAAGCGAAAGGCUAUUGGAACCACAGAUACGACACAAGCUCAAAAUCAAGCUUGUUGUUCGAGGUGAAUUGAUAAAUGAGGAAGAUCGACGUAAGCUUCGCUCAUUGUUGAAAAGUUGUGCUCUGGGAAUAAGGACCAGGUAGCACAGUUAAAUUAGCACGACAAUGAUAUAGCCGAUCAGGCUAGGAAUGAGGUGACGAAGUAUCACUCCAAUUAAGAAUUUACAAGAGGUAGUGUAAUGACACAAUAUCAUCGAGAUAACAUGAGGCAAUACUUGAAGGUAGAUCAAAUUAGAGGUUGGACAGGUGAAAUGACUUGCAGGAGACAAGUAUUUUAACUUGUCCGGGAAAUGGAAUUAAGGAGAAAUUAUGGUAGGAACCACGAUUAUGAAUGAUAAAACCACCGAUACAAGAUGAACUUAUAACAAGGGGGUAAUUAUUUUUACGAGCAGCUUCCAUGAUAAGUUCUACAUCGGGUCCGUGGGCAUGAACACAAACGUUCAAGGUCGACUCCCACUUCUUCAAUGCAUAACCUUUCAUUCACUCCUCGUUUUUGAAGAAUUUGUAGUGCAAAAGAUUUAUCUGGUGAAGCACCAGAAGAGUAUGACUCACAUCUCUUUCGAGUUCACACAAAUUUUAGGAAAGGUAUAGGUUCAACCCGUAGGGGUAUCUUAGGAACAUAUACCAUUAACUUCCAGAGCAUAUAACAUCAGCUCAAUGACAGAGCAUGGUUGACAAUAAGCAGAGGAUGCAACUUACCGAAGGCAAUAUGUAUCAGGGGAAGAGCGCACAAGAUUUUGAAUAUGAAGGACAUUGCCGGAUAAUAAUCCAACAAAGUAUUCAGCGGUCCUCAAUGUAUCUGAUGUGAGUAUCAGUACUCAAUCAGAAGAGGGAAAGAAUGCGAAGGCAUUAGAUUAUAGAAACAGCUGAAUAAUUCGACGUUCAAGUUGAAGGGAACUAGGUGGACAAUCAAUUACAACAUGAUUGGCCGAGAUCCAACUCAUGUCUAGAAUGACGUAUGAGCAGGAAGGUCAAAUUUCAGGGUUCAACUGAUGAUUGCGAGCAAUCGCAACAUAAUGAAUCAAUAGGCUCAGGAUGACAAUGACAAAGGAUGUUAAUUAAUAUUGCUCGACAUAUGGAUUUAACCAUAAUGCAGGGAGACAAGACUUUCGGGAGCACUAGGCUGCAGAGGAUCUUCAGGAGAUCGAAUUGCAUUCGAAGAAUUUUUAUGAGACAUAUGAUCAACUGGGGAUGAACAAAUCCCUGAUAAGUGUGUGAAUUAUUCGUAGGGUUAUUCAGGCAGAAAAGAGUUGCAAGGCAGUCGAAAAAAAAGGAUUCUCAAAAGUCGGAGAAUACUUUCGGGUAUCUUGUAAUAACGAGAAUAAUUAGGGAUGGAAGUAAGAACGGCGAGGGUACACAGUUAUCCAUAAGGAUUCAACAGUGUUAAGGGAUUGCAAAAGAAAUCAACACAAGUUCUCGGGAAUAGAUCGGAGAAUAUCUUUGAAGUCUUCUGGUGAAGCAGGCAACCAUCCGUAAUGAAGGGGCUCUUCGGGGAAAGUCGUUACGAGAUCCUAAUGUUAGAGUUAGCAAAAUCGUUUAACCCGAAUGGAAGAGAGAUCAGAGUCCCAGAGUAUAGAGAAGGAAUAAAAGAUCCUAAUACCACCCAAUUGGCAACGUGAGCCCAUAAGCCACACAACCAAGUUAGUAAAACAAUUUUCGGUUUCUAGACUCAACUUCGGCCAAGGAGUUGGAAAGGGGGCUACCUACAGGCAGUCGGCUCUGAUACCAACUUGUGAUGCCCUCGAUUCAAUCAUGCACUAAUCGUACACGCAAAUGUGUACGAUCAAGAUCAAGGACUCAUGGGAAGAUAUCAUAACACAACUCUAGACACAAAUUAAAAUAAUACAAGCUUUAUAUUACAAGCCAGGGGCCUCGAGGGCUCGAAUACAUAAGCUCGAAUACACAAGAGUCAGCGGAAGCAACAAUAUCUGAGUACAGACAUAAGCUAGACAAGUUUGCUUUAAGAAGGCUAGCACAAAAGCAUCUACGAUCGAAAAGGCAAGGCCUCCUGCCUGGGAGCCUCCUAACUACUCCUGGUCGUCGGCGUCCGUCACGUGAUAGUAGGCACCGGCGGUGGCAUCUGGCUCCUGGGCUCCGACAUCUGGUUGCAUCAACCAGAAAGAAAAGAAAGGGGGAAAAGGGGGAGCAAAGCAACCAUGAGUACUCAUCCAAAGUACUCGCAAGCAAGGAUCUACACUACAUAUGCAACAUUAUCAAAGGAAGGCUGUAUAUGUGGACUGGGCUGCAGAAAUGCCAGAAUAGAGAGAAGUCCUAGUCCUAUCGAAGACUAGCAUCUUCUGGAAACCACCAUCUUGCAGCAAACAUGAGGGAGUAUAGUAGCAUAAAGUAAAGUAGUAGUAGUGUUAUCAACCUCGGCCAGAGAUCCUUUCUCGACUCCCUGCGAGAAAGCAAUCCCAGAGCCAUACUAUCCAUUUAUCAUCACAAUCCAAUUCUCAUCAUCAUCCAAUUCUCAUCACAAGUAUCCAGUUCUAGUUGUAUCGAUCGGGAUACAACUCCAAGUGUCCGUUACCGUAGGACAGGCUAUCAAUAGAUGUUUUCUUCCCUGCAGGGGUGCACCAAGUUACCCACCACGCUCGCUUAACUCCGGCCGGACACACUUUCCUGGGUCAUGCCCGGCCUCGGCCAAACAAUACGCCGCAACGCGACCUACGCCUAAUAGAGAGGCCAGCACGCCGGACUAAACCUAUGCCCCCAGGGGUGAUGGGCCAUCUCCCCGGGAACUCCUGGACGUUGCGAACGCGGCCGGUGAGCAGACCUAGCUACCUCCUUAAAAAGGUAGGUGCUUACCAGUCCAACCUGGCGCGCGCAGCUCAGUCACUGACGUCUAAUAAGCUUCGGCUGAUGUAUACGACGCAGAACGCCCAUACUAUGCCCACGUGAUUGUUAGUGCUAUCAGGCCAGAGGCCCCUCAGAUCAAAUAUCCAAAUCGUAGUGGAUUAGGAACGUGCGGUAACAAGCAGAGACUCACGAAAGAUGUGACCCCGUUGCCCCGUCUCGAGGACUUGCGGCAAGGGCUAAGAAUGCCCGGCCACGCCUCGUAAUUAUCUCAUGGGCACCUUCCAGGUCAACCCGACUCCACAUCACUCGCAAUUAUGCUCGCGCGGGUACCCCUGAGGGUCGACCCGUCUUUAGUAACAUGGUUCAGUGUCAAGUCAUAGUAACCAUAGUAACCGUGUGUCCAAACAUCAAGGGGAAAACCCGAGGAAUCACCCCCGGUGGAUUCCAGUUGAUGUAAUCAUCAAGGUGAACGUAAGAGGAAUCACCCCCGAGGUUCACACUUGAGGGGUUGCACGACAGAGUCGUAUCGGAAGUGGUUAAGGCGGAAUCACCCUCGAUGACCACGAUCGAAUAACUACACUACAGGGUUAACAUCAGAAGUGCUAUAGAGGUCUCACCCUCGGCACUCGAUAGUAACCCAGCAGUGUCGAGCAACUAAGGGGAAAGUGAUGUGCGGUGCCGGGGCCUGGUCUUCGAUCCCGUUGAUCGGGUCUUCAAUGAUGAAGCAGGGGCAACAAGAAUAAGGUGGGGGUCACUGAUGGAUCACUAACCAACCUAUACUAAGCAGUUUAGGAUAAGCAAGUAAGGUACAACCGCAGAUACAAAAGCAGGCUAUGCAUCAGAAUAGGAGCAAUCAAUANNNNNNNNNNNNNNNNNNNNNNNNNNNNNNNNNNNNNNNNNNNNNNNNNNNNNNNNNNNNNNNNNNNNNNNNNNNNNNNNNNNNNNNNNNNNNNNNNNNNNNNNNNNNNNNNNNNNNNNNNNNNNNNNNNNNNNNNNNNNNNNNNNNNNNNNNNNNNNNNNNNNNNNNNNNNNNNNNNNNNNNNNNNNNNNNNNNCUCGGGGUCUACCGGAAAGAAGUAACAGAGAGGGAACACAAUAAAUAAUAGAGCAAUCAAAGCAUCAUAAAGCAUAACAUGGUAAAACGCGGUGCUAGGAUCGAUCUAACACGGUGCUAGGUUAUACAGACGAAGAGGGAAACCAUCCGGGAAUGUUUUUCCGGUUCCGGACGUCUGUCAGACAAAUGAACCGGAGGGGAAAAGUUCGAGGUUUGCUAAGCUAGGGACAUGUGGCGGACGAACGAAUCGCGUAUUCGGAUUCGUCUCGUCGUUCUGAGCAACUUUCAUGUAUAAAGUUUUUGGAUCCAAGCUACAGUUUAUUUUAUAUGAAUUUUCAAAGCUUUAAACAUUUUUUAAAUGUAUUAAUUCGAAAUAUAAACAACAAAAAGUUUUGUCACCUAGUACUACUCUAGCCAGAGUGUAUUACAGGUGGGGCCAGUGGAUUUAGUCAACAGUUGACCAAUCAAGAUUGACUGGUCAACAGGGUCAAAGCAGGGCCCAUCUGUCAUUGACUUUAGUUUAAUAAAAUGGUAAUUAACAGGGAUGAUCCCACAUGUCAUUUACUUAGGCUAAAUUAGCACUAAAUAAAUACUAAUUAAUCCUAAACCUAAAUCUAAACAAGGGCCGGCCUCAACACAGCCAGCCAUCAGGCUGGCUCACACACACACACGCACCUAGUACACACACAGUGCCACAAAGCACACACGGCCACGACCAUUGCCGUGGCCAGCAACAGCAGCAGCCGGUGGUAGUGGCGCAGCGCAGCCGCUAAGCAAGCAACACAAGCUGCGGCAGCCUGCACGCAGUAGCAGAAGCAGCAAUAAGGGGCAACAGUACAUAAGUAACAGCAGUCUGAGCAGCACAGCAGCGGCAGCUUGCAACAGCAGAGUAGCACGACGCGCGGGGAAGGAGGAGCAGGGCGCGGCCCCGGGCAGCAGGGCCCACGAGCGUGCGCGCACGCGCGAGGCGUAGCCGAGGCGCGGGGCUGUGCGCGCAAGGGAGCAGAGCUCCGUCCGAUCAUGGGAGGUCGCGUUCGGCGGCUUAAGGCAACAGAUCGAAGGGGGAAAAGGAGGAAUCGGGGAAGAAGCUCACCCCGGAGCUCGUGGUGUGGUCGAGGAAGCGACAUGGAGUCGAGGUGGACCGGAGGAGCGGAGGAGCAACGUGGCGGCAACGAACGGAGUCAGGUGCCAAGGUCGAAGGCGGCUCGAUCCAGUCGAUGUAGGUUCUCCGAGCUCGAACGCGUCCCCGUAGUGGAAGGAGAUGAGCGUAGCCGACCUCCUGGAUAAGCUAGUGGGGCUCGGGGUCAUCGGGAAGCACGCGGACGACGAAGGCAAUGGCGACGGCGGCUCGGCUUGUCGCUGGGAGGAAGCAAAGGCGCGAGGGGAAAGGAAGAGGGGACUAGGGUUCGUUCCGCGGGGCAGAGGGGGUCCUUAUCUUCGCGGGGCACCGCUGGAUGGCCGGCGUGUGGCUGGAGGGGC
This 7994-nucleotide long non-coding RNA is filed under the name Triticum aestivum (bread wheat). Its description in RNAcentral is "long non-coding RNA (TAES_LNC027320)". Lineage: Eukaryota; Viridiplantae; Streptophyta; Magnoliopsida; Poales; Poaceae. The record is from RNAcentral.